RNAcentral lists this non-coding RNA (31 nucleotides) under Mus musculus (house mouse). Lineage: Eukaryota; Metazoa; Chordata; Mammalia; Rodentia; Muridae. The record is from RNAcentral.
UGUAUUCUAAAUUCUUGCUUACACACUUGGA